RNAcentral lists this ribosomal RNA (456 nucleotides) under uncultured microorganism. RNAcentral describes it as "bacterial SSU rRNA". It matches the Rfam family "Bacterial small subunit ribosomal RNA", at positions 346 to 794 of the family's 1533-position model. The record is from RNAcentral.
GUGCAGCAGUCGCGAAUAGUCUACAAUGGACGAAAGUCUGAUAGUGCGACGCCGUGUGUGCGAUUAAUUCCUUCGGGAUGUAAAGCACUUUUCUAUGAGAUAAAAGCUCUUUAGGUUAAUAGCUUAUUGAGACGGAUAUUAUUAUAGGAAUAAGCUCCGGCUAACUCCGUGCCAGCAGCCGCGGUAAUACGGAAGGAGCGAGCGUUGUCCGGAUUUACUAGGCGUAAAGGGCUAGUAGGCGACUAAUUAAGUUAUAUGUUAAAUCCCACGGCUCAACUGUGGUCCUGCAUGUAAUACUGGUUAGAUAGAGUACUGUAGAGGAAGGCAGAAUUCCUGGAGUAGCGGUGGAAUGCGCAGAUAUCAGGAAGAAUACCAAAAGCGAAGGCAGCUUCUGGGCAGUACUGACGCUGAAUAGCGAAGGUGUGGGUAGCGAACAGGAUUAGAUACCCGCGUAGU